UACGGAGGGGGCUAGCGUUGUUCGGAAUUACUGGGCGUAAUGCGCACGUAGGCGGCUUUGCAAGUUAGAGGUGAAAGCCCGGGGCUCAACUCCGGAAUUGCCUUUAAGACUGCAUCGCUAGAACACGGGAGAGGUGAGUGGAAUUCCGAGUGUAGAGGUGAAAUUCGUAGAUAUUCGGAAGAACACCAGUGGCGAAGGCGGCUCACUGGACCGUUGUUGACGCUGAGGUGCGAAAGCGUGGGGAGCAAACAGGA
RNAcentral lists this ribosomal RNA (254 nucleotides) under uncultured prokaryote. RNAcentral's name for it is "partial 16S ribosomal RNA". It matches the Rfam family "Bacterial small subunit ribosomal RNA", at positions 524 to 777 of the family's 1533-position model. The record is from RNAcentral.